This 778-nucleotide ribosomal RNA is filed under the name uncultured Neocallimastigales. Its description in RNAcentral is "partial large subunit ribosomal RNA". It matches the Rfam family "Eukaryotic large subunit ribosomal RNA", at positions 24 to 616 of the family's 3401-position model. The record is from RNAcentral. Lineage: Eukaryota; Fungi; Neocallimastigomycota; Neocallimastigomycetes; Neocallimastigales.
UACGACUACAUAUCAGGCAUAUCAAUAAGCGGAGGAAAAGAAACUAACAAGGAUUCCCUUAGUAACGGCGAGUGAAGCGGGAAGAGCUCAAAUUUGAAAUCUUCAAGGUUUUACCUUGACGAAUUGUAGUUUAAAGAAGUGUUUUCUGUUGAAGUUUUGGUAAAAGUUCUUUGGAAUAGGACAUCAUAGAGGGUGAGAAUCCCGUAUUUGACCAUUAUUUUCAGCUGUGUGAUACACUUUCAAAGAGUCGGAUUGUUUGGGAAUGCAGUCCAAGAUGGGUGGUAAAUUUCAUCUAAAGCUAAAUAUUGGCGAGAGACCGAUAGCGAACAAGUACCGUGAGGGAAAGAUGAAAAGAACUUUGAAAAGAGAGUUAAACAGUACGUGAGAUUGUCAAAAGGGAAGCGUUUGACACCAGUGUUGUUUUCUCGAAAAUCAAUUAAAAAAGGCUGGAUUUUGUGUUGUAUUGACCUUAAUCAGCUUGCUUCACUCUUUUCCAUGUCUUUUUUUAAUGCACUCUUCGUUUAACAAGUCAACAUCAGUUUCUUUUGUUGUAAAAGGGUCAUUGGAAGGUGGCUUUCUCUUUCGGAGAAAGUGUUUAUAGCCUUUGGCCUCUGCAAUCGGAGAGAUUGAGGUCUGCAGCGUAGAUCCUUCGGGGUUAGAUACAUUUGUGCUAAGUUAUAGCCUUUCAUAGACAACUUGUUGACUAUGAUCAGUCAUGUAGCUUACUCGCUUAUGCUAUUUUACCUACGCUUAGGAUGUUGAGCGCAUGUCUCUCUCU